UAGAACCAAGACUACCAGCCCAGA
Molecule: non-coding RNA, 24 nt
Filed under: Mus musculus (house mouse)
Lineage: Eukaryota; Metazoa; Chordata; Mammalia; Rodentia; Muridae
Source: RNAcentral